Nematostella vectensis (starlet sea anemone) is the source of this 271-nucleotide long non-coding RNA. RefSeq lists it as uncharacterized. The transcript has 2 exons. Lineage: Eukaryota; Metazoa; Cnidaria; Anthozoa; Actiniaria; Edwardsiidae. The record is from RefSeq and is a predicted model, not a curated record.
GCGGAUCUAGGGGGAGGGUUUAGGGGGUUUAACCCCCCCCUUGGGCUGCCAAAAAACCGUAAUAAAUGGGAUGGUUUUGAGUUCAUAGCUUCCAAGAAAAAACUGGACAAAGCCACAAUGGCCGAAAGUUCACUUUCGGUUCUUAACAGACGUGCUAUUUGUAGACAAAACUUUAAAGCAGCUAGAUUACUGUGGUAUGUCAUUAAUCCAUAAGUCAGACUUGUAUUUGUAGCCAACUCCAACAAUAAACAUCCCGUGGGGAUACUGCAAA